This is a non-coding RNA of Salmo salar (Atlantic salmon), 76 nucleotides long. The record is from Rfam. Lineage: Eukaryota; Metazoa; Chordata; Actinopteri; Salmoniformes; Salmonidae.
UUGCAUUCGAGGCUUGUUUUAAGUUGCCUGCGACCUGUUUAAAGACUCAGGCAGCUAAAGCAAGUCUGGGACGCCA